Oncorhynchus mykiss (rainbow trout) is the source of this 1538-nucleotide long non-coding RNA. RefSeq lists it as uncharacterized. Lineage: Eukaryota; Metazoa; Chordata; Actinopteri; Salmoniformes; Salmonidae. The record is from RefSeq and is a predicted model, not a curated record.
CCUGAUGCGAGAGCAAGUUCUAAAGCCGACAGAAAUGCACUGCUUUCAUGACAACGAUUAAGAAAACCGUUACACUCAAUCUGUAAACUUGAUCCAAUUAUUGACAAUGGCAUUCUGAGAGGGGGAGGAAGAUUAAGCAAAGCUGCUAUGCCUACGGAACUAAAGAAUCCUAUGAUCCUGCCCAAAGACUCCUACAUCUCCAGACUGAUCUUACUCCACAUCCAUGAGCAGGUUGGCCUCUCACAUGCUUUCUAGACUUCGCCAGCAAUAUUGGAUACCGUGUGCCAACUCCUUAGCAAGGAAGAUCCUUAAGAGCUGUGUCUUCUGCAGGCGGAUGCAAGCUAGAGCUGGAGAACAGAAGAUGGCCGCCCUUCCGCAAGAUCGGGUGUCACCUGAUUUUCCACCUUUCACCCAAGUGGGAAUAGAUUACUUCGGCCCCAUAGAGCUAAAAGCGAGGCCGCGUUCAUGUGAAGCGGUAUGGUGUGAUCUUUAUUUGCCUUCUGAGUCGAGCUGUCCAUCUAGAAGUUAGUUAGUUAUCUAGAUACUGAUUCCUGCAUCAAUGCCCUGUGCAGGUUCAUCUGUCGAAGGGGCCCAGUAACAAGUAUCAGAACAGACAAUGGCACCAACUUUGUUGGAACACACAGAGAGCUAGGAGAAGCUCAAAGAGCUGGAUCACAACAACAUUCAAAAUGAAUUACUGAAGGAAGGAGUGACAUGGUCAUUCAAACCUCCCUCUGGAGCCCACCAUGGGGGGAUAUGGGAGGUGGGUGAUCUGACUGGUGAAAAAUAUCCUCUAUUCAGUCCUUAAAGAACAAGUACUGGAUGAUGAGGCUUUGCAGACUGCCUUGUGUGAAGUUGAGGCGAUUAUGAACGUCAGACCAAUCACAACUGUAACAAAUGACCAUAAUGAUCUAGAUCCCCUGACUCCGAACCAUCUGCUUCAUCUCAAAGCAAAGCCAGUCCUGCCACCAGGACUAUUCCAGAGAAGUGACCUAUACUCGCAAAGGAGAUGUGAGCAAGUACAAUAUUUCACUGACCUCUUCUGGAAGAGAUGGAUCAGGGAGUAUCUUCCACUUAUGCAGGAGCGGAACAAGUGGAAAAAAACGAAGAGAAACUUCAGUCCUGGUGACCUUGGUCAUCGUCGAUGACACCGCCCCAAGGAACUCUUGAACUCUUGGCUAAUGGGGCGUAUGGUGGAGUCGUUGCCAGGGGCCAAAGGUCUUGUCCGGAGAGUCAUGGUUAAGACUAAGACCAAUAUUUUACAGAGACCUAUCAAUAAACUCUGUCUGCUCCUUGAGGCGACGGAGUGACACAAACACACACACACAGUGCUCCAUCUUAGAAUCACUUGCACCUCUGAUUCGUUGAUGUCGUACUCUUACAUUCUUUGUCAUAGUCAUACAUUUUUGGACGUCAAACUCUUGACAUUUUUGGAAGUUGAACACCUUUACACUUCAACUCAGACUGAGAUCUAUGGACUAUUUUCCUAUAUGGCACCUUGUAUAUUUGUAUAUAGCUAUGAACUGUAAUAGUGCUCU